Molecule: long non-coding RNA, 1918 nt
Filed under: Homo sapiens (human)
Lineage: Eukaryota; Metazoa; Chordata; Mammalia; Primates; Hominidae
Description: HSALNT0190789
Source: RNAcentral
CCACGAAGUGGCUGACUUAAAAAAUCUCACUCCGGACAAGUAAACACCAAUACCACCAACCUGAGUAGGCCUUCCAUGAAAUACUGGGGACACUAAGAAGCCACACCCCCUGAAACAUUCUAUGGUCAUUCAGCAUUUGAAGCAAAUUGGAAAGGUGAAAAACCUGAUAAGUGGGUGCCUCAUGAGCUCACCGAAAAUUUUUUUAAAAAUUGUCGUUUUGAAGUGUCAUCUUCUCUUAUUCUAUGCAACAACAAUGAACCAUUUCUUGAUUGGAUUGUGAUGUGCGAGGAAAAGUGGAUUUUAUAUGACAACUGGCGAUGACCAGCUCAGUGGUUGGACCGAGAAGAAGCUCCAAAACACUUCCCAAAGCCAAACUUGCACCAAAAAAGGUCCUGGUCACUGCUUGGUGGGCUGCUGCUGGUCUGAUCCACUGCAGCUUUCUGAAUCCCUGGGAAACCAUUACACCUGAGAAGUAUGCUCAGCAAACCAAUGAGAUGCACCAAAAACUGCAAUGCCUGCAGCUGGCUUUGGUCAACAGGAAGGGCCCAAUUCUUCUCCACCACAAUGUCCGACUGCACAUCACAACCCACGCUUCAGAAGUUGAACAAAUUGGGCUACGAAGUUUUGCCUCAUCUCCCAUGUUCACCUGACCUCUCGCUGAGAAGUAGCUUUGGAGCUUCUUCUCGGUCCAAACACUGAGCUGGUCAUCGCCGGUUGUCAUAUAAAAUCCACUUUUCCUCGCACAUCACAAUCCAAUCAAGAAAUGGUUCAUUGUUGUUGCAUAGAAUAAGAGAAGAUGACACUUCAAAACUACCACUUCUUCAAGCAUCUCAACAACUUUUUGCAGGGAAAAUGCUUCCACAACCAGCAGGAUGCAGAAAAUGCUCUCCAAAAGUUUGUCAAAUCCUGAAGCAUGGAUUUUUAGGCUACAGGAAUAAACGUAUUUCUCACUGGCAGAAAUUUAUUGAUUGUAAUGAUUCCUUUUUUGGUUAAAGACAUGUUUGAGCCUAGUUAUAACGACUUACAAUUCACGGUCCAAAACUGCAAGUACUUUUUGCACCAGCGAGAUGUGCAUAUGAGAAGCUUAUUUCACCAAGCCUCUUAUCUAGUCAUCUGUAUAAUUAUUUCAAGCACAGGAGGGACCCUACUUCUUACUGGGGAGGAUUAAGGAAGGCUUCCUGGAGGAUUGUCUCAGAGCUUGCUGCAGGUGCAUAUUGAAAAGCAAUUCAUUACAAUUUUCUAUAAGAGACUGUGGCUGAACAAUGAUACACAGGUAUGGUCAGAACUUUGUGUAACAAUUUCUGCAUCACAUGUGUAGAAAUCUUAAGGAAAGGAAUACUCUCUCUCAGCAAGUUGAGCCCUGUAGCCAGAUACUUUGAGUAGUGUUUCCUGAAUCUUUAAAACCCACUGACUUCAAAUGGCAUGACUUCCAGAGUAUAGAGGUGGGUAUAAAGAGCAACUCAGCCCCCCACACCCUUAAAAUCACAUCUUGUCAAAAACUUGAAGACUUUCAGGACUUGUGGAUUCAUUCCUCUUUCCAUCGCCACUGCAAAAGCUCAUAGGAAAUUUUUCUCUGUACAUAAAGAAGGAAAUCAUGCUCUCACAGCUGCAUCCUGAGUAAUCACUUUUGAGAUAAAACUAUUUUUCUAGCCAUAAAAGCUAUAUUUGAAUUUCACCAGCUGCUUUCUUAAUGAUUACUAGACUAUUUUGAUAAUGGCACCAGCUUCAGGAAAGGUGGUGAUGCUACCUAACCUUGCUUUGAUAAGAAAGAUUUUUGCAUCAGGGGAGAUUACACUUAUUUAAUGUAAUCCAGAUGUCUCCUUUCUCAGUGUUCCCCAAUUCUGCCAGCCUCAUUGAUCAUUCCAACUAUUAGUAUUCAAAUAAAAAUGGCUUCCAUAUGUAAAAGGAAACUCAGGAU